RNAcentral lists this microRNA precursor (100 nucleotides) under Colobus angolensis palliatus. RNAcentral's name for it is "miRNA (ENSCANG00000007955.1)". Lineage: Eukaryota; Metazoa; Chordata; Mammalia; Primates; Cercopithecidae. The record is from RNAcentral.
AUCACGCCCAACCCCCUGGCCACAAACCCCACAGUCCCAGCUGGAGGAUGAGGAGAUGCUGGGCUUAGGUGAGGGAAUCAUGGGUAUAAAGGGGCCUGCU